AUUAGCGGAGGAAAAGAAACUAACAAGGAUUCCCCUAGUAAAUGCGAGUGAAGCGGGAAAAGCUCAAAUUUAAAAUCUGGUGGCCUUUGGCCAUCCGAGUUGUAAUUUAGAGAAGCGUCUUCCGCGCUGGACCGUGCACAAGUCUCCUGGAAUGGAGCGUCAUAGAGGGUGAGAAUCCCGUCUUUGGCACGGACUCCCAGGGCUUCUGUGAUGCGCUCUCGACGAGUCGAGUUGUUUGGGAAUGCAGCUCAAAAUGGGUGGUGAACUCCAUCUAAAGCUAAAUACUGGCGAGAGACCGAUAGCGAACAAGUACCGUGAGGGAAAGAUGAAAAGCACUUUGGAAAGAGAGUGAAACAGUACGUGAAAUUGUUGAAAGGGAAACGCUUAAAGUCAGUCGCGUCGACCGAGACUCAGCCUUGCCUUGGCUUGGUGUACUUCUCGGCUGACGGGUCAGCAUCAAUUUUGAUCCUUGGAUAAUGGCAAGGGAAAGGUGGCACCUUUUUAGGUGUGUUAUAGUCCUUUGUCACAUGCGAGGGUCGGGAUUGAGGAACUCAGCAUGCACCUUUGGGUGUCGGGGCCUUGGCCCACGUUACGUGCUUAGGAUGCUGGCGUAAUGGCUUUAAACGACCCGUCUUGAAACACGGACCAAGGAGUCUAACAUACCCGCGAGUGUUCGGGUGGAAAACCCGUGCGCGUAAUGAAAGUAAAAGUUGGGACCUCUGUCGUAGAGGGCACCGACGCCCGGACCAGACCUUCUGUGACGGCUCUGCGGUAGAGCGUGUAUGUUGGGACCCGAAAGAUGGUGAACUAUGCCUGAAUAGGGUGAAGCCAGAGGAAACUCUGGUGGAGGCUCGUAGCGAUUCUGACGUGCAAAUCGAUCGUCAAAUUUGGGUAUAGGGGCGAAAGACUAAUCGAACCAUCUAGUAGCUGGUUCUGC
RNAcentral lists this ribosomal RNA (937 nucleotides) under Russula sp. RNAcentral describes it as "partial large subunit ribosomal RNA". It matches the Rfam family "Eukaryotic large subunit ribosomal RNA", at positions 46 to 960 of the family's 3401-position model. Lineage: Eukaryota; Fungi; Basidiomycota; Agaricomycetes; Russulales; Russulaceae. The record is from RNAcentral.